UACAGAGGUCUCAAGCGUUGUUCGGAUUCAUUGGGCGUAAAGGGUGCGUAGGUGGCGCCGUAAGUCAGGUGUGAAAUUUCGGAGCUUAACUCCGAAAACUGCAUUUGAUACUGCGGUGCUUGAGGACUGGAGAGGAGACUGGAAUUUACGGUGUAGCAGUGAAAUGCGUAGAGAUCGUAAGGAAGACCAGUGGCGAAGGCGGGUCUCUGGACAGUUCCCGACACUGAGGCACGAAGGCCAGGGGAGCAAACGGG
RNAcentral lists this ribosomal RNA (254 nucleotides) under uncultured bacterium. RNAcentral's name for it is "partial 16S ribosomal RNA". It matches the Rfam family "Bacterial small subunit ribosomal RNA", at positions 524 to 776 of the family's 1533-position model. The record is from RNAcentral.